AGANGGGUUAAUGUUGAGGACAAAUGUCUUUGUGUGCGACAGAUUAUACAGCCCCGUGGUGCGUCUGCCAUUUGGAUACAUGCAGAAUGCAGAAGCUAAUUGAUUUGCAGCUACAGAGAUAAAACCGGUUCACACCAGUAAAGGUCAGUGGUGCCCAGCUGGACGAGACGGCAGUUGAAGCCCAUCAAUAAUCCAGGACUUUAACUAAUAGUUGUUUUUGGCUGCUAAAAGCAUAAAGCUGGAACAGUGUGAUUAUCAGCAGUGUCAACUCAUGCUUCAGUUUUCUUAAACAGACCUACAGAUCAGAGAAGUCCACCAUCAACUGCCUUAAACUGUCUUAAUACCUAAAAUCUUAGUUAUAGACCCUUGCUGCUAUGUGGUUUUUUUUAGCUGCUAUUGUUUUAUUGUUGUAUUUGUAUCUCAGUUUAAAUGUCAUUUUAAUUUGUUUUUUAAUCUCAAAUAAAUUCCACUUGGAAUCAAA
Long non-coding RNA from Cynoglossus semilaevis (tongue sole), 481 nucleotides. RefSeq lists it as uncharacterized. Lineage: Eukaryota; Metazoa; Chordata; Actinopteri; Pleuronectiformes; Cynoglossidae. The record is from RefSeq and is a predicted model, not a curated record. The transcript has 3 exons.